RNAcentral lists this long non-coding RNA (1989 nucleotides) under Nicotiana tabacum (common tobacco). Its description in RNAcentral is "long non-coding RNA (NTAB_LNC002307)". The record is from RNAcentral. Lineage: Eukaryota; Viridiplantae; Streptophyta; Magnoliopsida; Solanales; Solanaceae.
UUUAACUGUCAUAACACCCCCCUCCCCCCCCAAACCAAGAGACCUUCCCCUUUCACCAUCUUCAUCACCUCUCUGAGCUUCCGCCAACAGGCGCUGCCGGAAAUCACCCACAGCGGCAGCCAGUCACGAAAUCACCCCAAUCUUUACCACAUAGUCCCCACACCUCCCUCCUCACUAGUAUCUCACUAAUUUUUCCAAAAUCCCCACCCAUCUUCUCCAAUUUCGGAUAUAAGAAAGUCAGAAAAAACCUAAAUUUGAUUUUUAUGGAAAUUUCAAGAACGUUUUGGGUCAAACUUACAUCUUACAUGAGUUGAUUGCUCUUGACACGAGCAAUCGAUUCAUGAUAGUUUGGUUCAUUUUGAAAGUCACCGGAUGGUAUUCCCAUGGCAAUGACCGCCAAAGUUUCAUCGCCUUCAUCGUUCGUCGAUAUUCAUUUCUGGACAAAAUCAGUAUACCCCUCCUCUCUUGUUCCUUUGUUUCUUUUUCUUUUUCUGUUUUGAAAUUAUCAGUUAAUGUUUUAAUUUCUUAUUUAUUUUGUUUAAUUGAUUCCAUUGUCUAGCUAAUUGCGGGAUCGUUACUUUAAUCGCAUAUGUUUAGGCUAAUCAAAUUAGUUCGGUGAUUUAGUUAGGUUUAACUAGUAGUUUUGUUUCUGUUCUGUUUGGUCUUUGAUUUGGUUUUAAUUGUUUGUUUGUUAAUGUUGAGUAUCAAUUGGAAUUAAAUGGUUGAAAGAGUAAUAAUAGAAACUUUAAGGGAGUUAAUUGGAAGCUAAAAUCAAGAAAUCUAAGGCAGUAAUACAUAAAAUUGCUAAAUGAGGGAUUAAAGUGCAAUAAAUUAAUUAAGUUAAAUCAGAUUUUUGGAAAAAAAGUUGAAUUUUCAGAAGUUUAAAAGAGUUAAAAUGAAAAGAAACUUCUAGAAAGGGACAGCUGUCCCAAUAUUGUUUAGAUAAGAUGCAAAAUUUAAGUACAUCUAUCCGUACAAAAGAUGUCAUUUACCUGAAUUUAAGGAAAGCUGGCAGAUUCUUUUGUACCUGAUUUUAUUCCAUCAUAAGGUUUUCACAUAUUCUAUAUAAGGAGGGCACUUGCUGAAUUUUCGGACAGACUUGACACACGAUUUACACAAGAAAAACCCUGAGAAAUUCAGAGAUUGGUUUCUCCAUUUUCAUUGUGAGUCUUUUAUUCUUCUGGGUUUGAAAGCUAGAAAGAGAAAACAGAAAACAAAGAAAAAUAGAGAUUUUCGGACUGCUUUUCUUCUCCAUAUUUUACUGGUUUUCUCCAUGUUGCUGGGAUUUUUGGAUUGAGGUGUGAAGCUGUUGUAUUGGAUUUUCUGAUGCUGUAUUUUUGCUGUUGCUUCUUCCCAGUUUUCAGAGAUCUAUUUUCUUUUUUAUUGUCUAUUCUGCUGAUAAAGGUACACAUCUAUGAACUCACAUGUUUGAAUUGGGCAUAAUCAAGUGUUCUUCUGUGAUUUUUCAGGCAUUUAUGGUGUCUUUAGUGAUGUGGUGUUUUAGAUUUCACGUGAAAGGUUGUAAAUGUUUAAGUGAAUGAAAUUGAAAUCUGCUUGACCUUAUUAUUUUAUUAUUGCCCUUCAACUUCUCUAAAGCAUAUGCUAUCUCUGUUAGGUCAUGUUCUAAUAUCCCAGACUAUUUUGAGCAUGAAUUCUAGUUCAAAUAUGUUCCUAAUGUUGUACUAAGUAAUGUUGGUAGUAAAAUCGUGACAGGAAAAGGUUAUUGCUGCAAUAAACAUGGUUGUAAUUUAUAGAGGUGACUACUAAGUUGGCUAAAUCGGUGAAGCCAAACUCGGCCAUCAGAGGUGUUUGAAAUCAUUGCAUAUUUUUCUCGAUUGAAUUUUUUUGAUGUUUGGGACUGUAAUAUGAAACUUUGACAUGUAAUUGUAAUUGAAAUGAUUUAUGAAGUUAAAUGUUAGAGUAAAGAUUUGAUUGCAAAGUACAAAUGCAAUGGCAAUGACUCCAGUCGAUUAUUUUUCUGUUGUAUGU